CCCUUAGAUGUUCUGGGCCGCACGCGCGCUACACUGAUGAAUUCAACGAGCACUAACCUGUGCCGAAAGGUUCGGGUAAUCUUGUGAAAUUUCAUCGUGGUGGGGAUUGAUUAUUGCAAUUUUUAAUCAUAAACGAGGAAUGCCUAGUAAGCGUGAGUCAUCAGCUCACGUUGAUUACGUCCCUGCCCUUUGUACACACCGCCCGUCGCUCCUACCGAUUGAAUGUGCCAGUGAAAAGUUCGGAUUGGAGAUAGGAGACGGCAACGUAUCCUAUUUCCGAGAAAAUCUUUAAACUUUCCCAUUUAGAGGAAGGAGAAGUCGUAACA
Molecule: ribosomal RNA, 326 nt
Filed under: uncultured eukaryote
Lineage: Eukaryota
Description: partial 18S ribosomal RNA
Rfam family: Eukaryotic small subunit ribosomal RNA
Source: RNAcentral